Molecule: non-coding RNA, 265 nt
Organism: Pelobates cultripes (western spadefoot toad)
Lineage: Eukaryota; Metazoa; Chordata; Amphibia; Anura; Pelobatidae
Source: the annotation of a GenBank genome assembly
AUAGAAUGUUCGCACACGUUUUCAAUAGUAUUUCAUCACACAAAUAAUUUUUGUAGAUAUGCCCUGGUGUAUUUAAAGAUAAAGUGCAAAGAUAUCUUGCUGAGCAUAACAAUUCACCUGUCAGUGUUGCUUUCCUGAUAUGGGACCGAAUACAGGUUGUUGGCUUCCAAAUUCCAUUCUGAUUCCCUUGCAUCAGCACAGACCCUUUUCAUUCUGUUAACAGUCGCAUAGUGAGAGGAAUAUUUUUACUGAAGUUACAUAGUCC